GGGAUCAUUACUGAGUUUUUAACUCCAAACCAUUGUGAACUUACCACUGUUGCCUCGGCGGCGACUCUCACUGGCAGCAAUGUUAGUGGGUUAACCGCCGGUGGACUACUAAACUAUGUUAAUUUUUGUCAAUCUGAAUAAAAAACUUAAUAAGUUAAAACUUUCAACAACGGAUCUAUUGGUUCUGGCAUCGAUGAAGAACGCAGCGAAAUGCGAUAAGUAAUGUGAAUUGCAGAAUUCAGUGAAUCAUCGAAUCUUUGAACGCACAUUGCGCCCAUUAGUAUUCUAGUGGGCAUGCCUGUUCGAGCGUCAUUUCAACCCUUAAGCCUAGCUUAGUAUUGGGAAUCUGCUUAACCGCAGCUCCUUAAAUAUAGUUGGCAGAGCACAGCUGUACUCUGAGCGUAGUAAUUCAUUAUCUCGCUUUCUGAAGGCAGUCGUACGAUUGCCACAAACCU
This 455-nucleotide ribosomal RNA is filed under the name Monodictys sp. 2 JAS-2013. Its description in RNAcentral is "eukaryotic LSU rRNA". The stretch from base 159 to 312 matches the Rfam family "5.8S ribosomal RNA". The record is from RNAcentral. Lineage: Eukaryota; Fungi; Ascomycota; Dothideomycetes; Pleosporales.